GGGGGCCGAAAGGGCUUUAUAGGGGUCCAAAUGGGGCUCCUUGCAUCAAAUCCCGUGAUUAUAAGGGUUGGGGAUCGGUUGCCUACGGUGUGGAGUCCCGUUUGGUCACGGCGAGGAAGAAGACGGGCGCUGCCCGGUGGGUCCCAAAUGUCAGCGAGAGAGAAGGAGGGCCCGGUCGUCAGCGAUGGGAGAGAGAGAGGUGGGUGUGCGCGGCUGGCCAACUGGGCCGAGGCGAUGGGGGAAAUAAGGGAGGGCACACCGUUGGGCCAGAAUAGAGAGAGGGGAAAGUUGUUUUCCUUUUUCUUUUGUUUGUUUUUUUAUUUCCAAACAUUUUUCAAAUCCAUUUUAAAAUCUGUUUGAAAUAUUUUCAAACUUUGGUCAAAAUCAUUCAUCUCAAAAUAAAAUGCACCAGCAUGAUUUACACACAAUUGUUGCUAAGUGUCG
RNAcentral lists this long non-coding RNA (444 nucleotides) under Sorghum bicolor (sorghum). RNAcentral describes it as "long non-coding RNA (SBIC_LNC015662)". The record is from RNAcentral. Lineage: Eukaryota; Viridiplantae; Streptophyta; Magnoliopsida; Poales; Poaceae.